Molecule: antisense RNA, 69 nt
Filed under: Streptomyces malaysiensis
Lineage: Bacteria; Bacillati; Actinomycetota; Actinomycetes; Kitasatosporales; Streptomycetaceae
Description: ASpks TB sRNA
Rfam family: ASpks TB sRNA
Source: Rfam by way of RNAcentral
CUUCAGCGAUCCGAGCCGCACGGGCUGGUCGCGGUGUUGUCCGUAGGUGGCGAUCAGGGCCUGGGCUUC